UACGUAGGGUGCGAGCGUUGUCCGGAAUUAUUGGGCGUAAAGGGCUCGUAGGCGGUCUGUCACGUCGGGAGUGAAAACACGGGGCUUAACCCCGUGCCUGCUUCCGAUACGGGCAGACUAGAGGUAUGCAGGGGAGAACGGAAUUCCUGGUGUAGCGGUGAAAUGCGCAGAUAUCAGGAGGAGCACCGGUGGCGAAGGCGGUUCUCUGGGCAUUACCUGACGCUGAGGAGCGAAAGUGUGGGGAGCGAACAGG
RNAcentral lists this ribosomal RNA (253 nucleotides) under uncultured bacterium. RNAcentral describes it as "partial 16S ribosomal RNA". It matches the Rfam family "Bacterial small subunit ribosomal RNA", at positions 524 to 776 of the family's 1533-position model. The record is from RNAcentral.